AAAAUAAAAAAAAGUUACAUUUCAGGUGUUCUGUCACUUUUGACCACAAACAACACAUGUGUGACCCUCAAAUGAACAAAAAAAAGCAAUGUUGAAUAUGUAUUGACAAUAUCAGUGUGAUCUAAACUAUUUUUUGCUUUACAUUGUUUACAGAUAAACCUUUAAUCCAUUGAGAGAGACACUGAUGGAGUUCUUUCUUUUCACACACUGGACCCAAAAAACCCAUCAGAUAUCAAUCAGCCAAUUAGGUCUCUCCGUCACCUUCAGAUUCAAUAGGACACAGAUGCUGUGACUCCCUCCAUCUAUAUGUUUGUGUCAGAGAUGAAAGCGGAAGCAGGGAGGAAGCUGGGUGUGUCGGAGGUGUUCUGACACUAAUGUGGUACACUGGGCUUUACUUCCAGAACUGUGAAGUUACUCUGUCAAGCUUUAAAAGGUCCUCUAAAGCCUUUGAACAACUGUGCGUGACCUUUUUUUGCCUGCUUUAUUAAGCUUCAGGGGACGCAGAAGUUGCACAGUGUUGCUAACUUUCAUUGCACCGAUGCACUGAGGACACACUGUUUUUAUUAUUUUUUUAGGCUUCGGUUUUUGUUCAGAAUGCCUUGAUCUGACAUAUUUAUCUUUUUUUAAUGCAUUCUAUCCUGUCAUUAAGCCGCUUUGACUAAUGAUCCUUUGUUGUUUAGUUAAAUCACUCCUCAGUCCACUUAACCACUGCACAUACAAAGUGUGACCCACUUUAAUGUUUUAGCAGUUUUUCACAAGUUAAAUGUGUGGUGUAGACCUCUCCAGCUCUCCCAGGAAUAACUGUUGGAAUCGAUCGCUCAUUCGUUUUGUCUUUAUUCUUCCAAGUAGUGCAAUUCUAAUAAAUAACACAGACAAUUUAAACACAACUAAGUCUAUGCUUCAUACUAGAUAAAUGAAUUUGGACCUCACUGCUAGUAUAAGUUGCACUUGGAAUCUGCCACGUGAAUAAUGAAUACCCUGUAAAACAGAUGCGGUAUCCAAAGCUUUGAAUAUUCAGAAAGAUCCAGCCACUUCCGAAUUCAAGAGAACGCCAGAGUGUAACUUCCUCUUCGUUAGAACUGUGCGUCCCAAUCUCGGCCUUGUUGCAGGAAAUGUUCUGUAGGUUGUCAUAUUGCCAAAGCCUCCCUUGAUCUUUUUUGGAUGAUGACGGACUAAUCUUUGUGUUCGUUUCUUCAUUGAAACCGCUUUUGUUUUGGUUGUUCCCAAAUGGAUAAUUGUGAGCUUACCGCAUGGUCCAGGUGAUUCACUUCAAAGGAAAUUCACUUCACUCGACAUCAACCUGCCUGAUUUAUAGUUGAGAAAAGGGCUGUUGAGGGAAUAAACCUGCAGCUGGCAGGGGGCAUGUUCAGAAGACCUUGUAAACACAUUCACACCUCUGGUGCAUUUCAAUGCCGGAUGACUUAUAGCACAAUAUUGAAAAUUCGAGUUCGACAAGCACUUGCAUUUCAAUACUGUCUGAGAGGAAUCAACAAACUCCACCAAUAAAACCACCAUCAGCUUUGGGAAGUUAACAAACGAGCUGAAAUGAGGGUAAUCAGUGGAUGGAUGUUCAAAGCACACUUUGGAAAGUUUUUUCUUGUUUUUUAAAUAGUUAAAUUUGAUGUAAAAGUGCCAUUAACUAGUACAUCUUAGGGAUUCAAUUUACACCUCCACCUCAAACAAAUAAAUACAUAUUUAUGUGUAUCAAUGUUUUUUUUUUUUUUUUUUUUUCUUUUUAAAUGAGCAAGCUAUUUUGUUGUCAUGUGAUAUGAAAAUCAUUAAAUAAAGAGACAGUGUGUCAAGGUGAUUAAGCUAUUAAAGAUACCACACAUUUUGUCAUAUUUCACAUGAUUUAUUUAGGUCAAAUGGAGUAACCCUAAGAAAACCUAUUGAUAUUCAUGAAUAUUCAUUAUAAUAAAAAAAGAGUUUACCUUUAAGACAUAUUAGACUGGUUGAUGUACAGGUACUCAAAGUGCAAGCAAAGUAUUUUAGUACUUUUAUUUGAUGUUUGCACAACUUUUAGUCACUAAAUCUUUUUUUUUUUUUUUUUUUUUUUUU
Long non-coding RNA from Ctenopharyngodon idella (grass carp), 2058 nucleotides. RefSeq lists it as uncharacterized. NCBI's taxonomy places the organism in Eukaryota, Metazoa, Chordata, Actinopteri, Cypriniformes, Xenocyprididae. The record is from RefSeq and is a predicted model, not a curated record. The transcript has 2 exons.